UACGAAGGGGGCUAGCGUUGCUCGGAAUGACUGGGCGUAAAGGGCGCGUAGGCGGUUUGCACAGUCAGGCGUGAAAUUCCUGGGCUUAACCUGGGGGCUGCGCUUGAUACGUGUGGACUGGAGUGCGGAAGAGGGUCGUGGAAUUCCCAGUGUAGAGGUGAAAUUCGUAGAUAUUGGGAAGAACACCGGUGGCGAAGGCGGCCCCCUGGGCUAACACUGACGCUCAGGCACGAAAGCGUGGGGAGCAAACAGG
RNAcentral lists this ribosomal RNA (253 nucleotides) under uncultured bacterium. RNAcentral describes it as "partial 16S ribosomal RNA". It matches the Rfam family "Bacterial small subunit ribosomal RNA", at positions 524 to 776 of the family's 1533-position model. The record is from RNAcentral.